CACCUCUUGUUACACAAAAUAUAAGAGGCCCCGCCUGCCCUGUGACAAUAAGUUUAACGGCCGCGGUAUUUUAACCGUGCGAAGGUAGCGUAAUCACUUGUCUUUUAAAUGGAGACCAGUAUGAAUGGCAUCACGAGGGCUUAACUGUCUCCCCUCUCCAGUCAAUGAAAUUGACCUUCCCGUGCAGAGGCGGGAAUAUUAAUAUAAGACGAGAAGACCCUGUGGAGCUUUAGACCUAAAAUAAACCACGUCUAGUAUACUGAAAUACCAGCAAAAGCCUAAUGGUUACAUAUUGAAGUGUCUUUGGUUGGGGCGACCGCGGGGUAAAACACAACCCCCUUGUGGACUGGGGAUAUUAUCCCUAAUACUCAGAGCCUCUACUCCAAGUAACAGAAAUUCUGACUUUCUGAUCCGGUAUUACCGAUCAACGAACCGAGUUACCCCAGGGAUAACAGCGCAAUCCCCUCUCAGAGCCCUUAUCGACGAGGGGGUUUACGACCUCGAUGUUGGAUCAGGACAUCCUAAUGGUGCAGCCGCUAUUAAGGGUUCGUUUGUUCAACGAUUAAAGUCCU
RNAcentral lists this ribosomal RNA (572 nucleotides) under Lepidion lepidion (Mediterranean codling). RNAcentral's name for it is "partial 16S ribosomal RNA". It matches the Rfam family "Bacterial large subunit ribosomal RNA", at positions 1816 to 2597 of the family's 2925-position model. Lineage: Eukaryota; Metazoa; Chordata; Actinopteri; Gadiformes; Moridae. The record is from RNAcentral.